UACGGAGGGUGCUAGCGUUGUUCGGAAUCACUGGGCGUAAAGCGCGUGUAGGCGGUCCGCUAAGUCUGGUGUGAAAGCCCGGGGCUCACCCCCGGAAGGGCACUGGAAACUGACGGACUCGAGUCCCGGAGAGGAGGGUGGAAUUCCUGGUGUAGCGGUGAAAUGCGUAGAUAUCAGGAGGAACACCGGUGGCGAAGGCGGCCCUCUGGACGGUGACUGACGCUGAGACGCGAAAGCGUGGGGAGCAAACAGG
RNAcentral lists this ribosomal RNA (253 nucleotides) under uncultured bacterium. Its description in RNAcentral is "partial 16S ribosomal RNA". It matches the Rfam family "Bacterial small subunit ribosomal RNA", at positions 524 to 776 of the family's 1533-position model. The record is from RNAcentral.